RNAcentral lists this ribosomal RNA (497 nucleotides) under uncultured bacterium. RNAcentral's name for it is "partial 16S ribosomal RNA". It matches the Rfam family "Bacterial small subunit ribosomal RNA", at positions 28 to 507 of the family's 1533-position model. The record is from RNAcentral.
GAUGAACGCUGGCGGCGUGCCUAAUACAUGCAAGUCGAGCGAACAGACGAGGAGCUUGCUCCUCUGACGUUAGCGGCGGACGGGUGAGUAACACGUGGAUAACCUACCUAUAAGACUGGGAUAACUUCGGGAAACCGGAUCUAAUACCGGAUAAUAUAUUGAACCGCAUGGUUCAAUAGUGAAAGACGGUUUUCCUGUCACUUAUAGAUGGAUCCGCGCUGCAUUAGCUAGUUGGUAAGGUAAAGGCUUACCAAGGCAACGAUGCGUAGCCGACCUGAGAGGGUGAUCGGCCACACUGGAACUGAGACACGGUCCAGACUCCUACGGGAGGCAGCAGUAGGGAAUCUUCCGCAAUGGGCGAAAGCCUGACGGAGCAACGCCGCGUGAGUGAUGAAGGUCUUCGGAUCGUAAAGCUCUGUUAUUAGGGAAGAAAAAAUGUGUAAGUAACUAUGCACGUCUUGACGGUACCUAAUCAGAAAGCCACGGCUAACUACGUG